GUGAACAUAUUGUACAAUAUUAUAAAAAACAAAUAUUAAGUACAAUAAUUUCAAUGAGCGGUGUCUUUAUCAUUCUUUAUUAAAGUUUGGAAUACCUAUCAUUAUGGUUACCAAAACUAUACAAUUUUACCAUGAUAGGAUGUGUAAUUUUUUUAAAUAGAAAUUUAAAAUGUAUAACCGACAUAUUCAUAGAUUGUACGGCAAGAUAAACAUACUUAAUACAUUUUAUUAUUUAUUAGUUUAUUACCUCAAACUCAUUGAUCUAUGGUUUUACUACGCAUCUGAUUACUCCAGACCAACGCGCGCACCGGCCACUGACUGAAUUGGUUCUAUAAUUCAUUUUUAAAAAUUUUAUAAUUCUAUCCUGGUGUGUUAUUAAUUUACCCGCUUUUUUGUAUCGGUACAAGUCGUACUUAAACUGUUUCUUUUUUCCUGUUAUUUCAUCAUAUAUAAUGUAACUGUGUGGUGUAUCUAUUAUAUGAUCACGAUUUUAAAUCAUUAUUUUUAAAAUUAUGAUAGAUAUAUAUAUAUAAUAUAUAUUUUUAAAUAAUGUUUACAAUAAUGUGUACAUAUUAAAAAUACGUAUUAUAUUUAUAUUUUAAUACUUAAUUCGGGAGUAGCAAUUUUUAAAGGAAAUAAAUGGACGUAUUCAAGGACGGCGAUCAUGGUAUUUUUUUUUCAAAACACUAAUAAUAAAAAACCAGAAAUUAAUGACGUAGGUAAAUCUCCCACUAUCUAGUUAUUUAUCCACGGUUUGCCAAAUAUAAAUACGAGCUAUCGAUAAUCUAGAGCUUCAUAAAUACUUAAGUCAUCAUCCUAGCUUAUAUAGAACUUCUGUAAGUCGCGGACUUUGUUACAGCCCAGUCGACAGUAAAAAGUCAACGUUAUUCAAACAUCUGUCUAUCCGACGUAUAGUCAACUUUAAGAACCAAGAGCAAUUCCGAUCACUACAGCAAGAUGAAAUAUUGUCUAUUGAUUGUGGUAGCAGUAUGUUUGUUUUUGGCGAUUGAAAUGGUUAACGCCGAUUGUCCAGGAAAUUGCUGGUACUACAGGUCCGACGCAACCAAACGAUGUGCUUCUCCGACAGCGACAAAUGAGUGCAGUGGGUAUGAUCUAUUUGGCCUAUGUCGAUGUUGGUGUUGUUAAACUUGUCUUUUUGAUCGAUUCAUAAAUUGCAUGCAACAUUAUAUAGUUGUCUGUAGGUAUUUUUAUUUUACUUGACUUCGGUAACAAUAUGCUCAUGUUUGUAUUACGGAUUACGCCUAUAAUGAACGUUGCUAUUAUAUGAGUUGUGUUUUCUAUGCUUCUUUCACAAUUCAAUUUAUCCGCAGAAGCAAUAUAAUAGAAAUUUAAAACCAACUAAAUUUAUAUUUGCUGUUUAUGAUGACGGCGUAUCAACUUCUCUUCUCACAAACAUGUCAUACCUAACCAAUUGUUUUUUAUUAUACCUACUUAAAUUAUUAAACUAUUAACCAAAUUUGAUAAUGUAAUCUAUGUUUUUUAUGUUGUUGAGCAAAAUAUGCAUAAUCACUAUAACGUUAAACAAAAUAUGUAUAAUCACCUUAAAAAAUAUGUUGUAUUAUAAACUUAUGAAAUUGAUGUAAACUAAUACAGAAUAUAUUUAGUACUUUUAAUUAUUUGUACACAAUUAUAUAAAUUGAUAAAUAUAAUUUUAUAAUUGACGCACAA
Molecule: long non-coding RNA, 1689 nt
Organism: Rhopalosiphum padi (bird cherry-oat aphid)
Lineage: Eukaryota; Metazoa; Arthropoda; Insecta; Hemiptera; Aphididae
Exons: 2
Source: RefSeq, a predicted model, not a curated record